This is a long non-coding RNA of Pipistrellus kuhlii (Kuhl's pipistrelle), 446 nucleotides long. RefSeq lists it as uncharacterized. The record is from RefSeq and is a predicted model, not a curated record. NCBI's taxonomy places the organism in Eukaryota, Metazoa, Chordata, Mammalia, Chiroptera, Vespertilionidae. The transcript has 3 exons.
GGCCUGGCCCUGGCACCCGAGGCGGAGGCGGAGGCGGGGGCAGCGCCGGCCGGGGCCACGGCCGCCGGUCCGCCCGCCGGGUUUCGGUUAGACCUCAACAGGAAGCUUUCCCUUCCCUCGCGGUAAAGAGGGAAACACUUCCACGGGGGCACCCAGAGAGGUGUUAUGUAGCUGUGGCUGUUGCUACCCUAUGCAGUACCUUUGUGAAAUUAAAAAAGCACCAGACCAGAACCUCAGGGAGACACAUGGACAGAUACUGCCAUUCCAGGGCAUGUCUGCUGUGAUAUCCUCUUCAGAGGUGGAAGAUGCAUUGCCUAGAACUAUGGCUGUGUAAGCACCACUGCCAGUACAGCAAAGGAAACCUUCCCUUGUUCCUACCCAGCAGGCUCAACCCUACGUUAGUAAAUGCAAAAGCCUGGAGUUUAAUAAAAAAUUAUUAUUUCUUA